AACGAACGCUGGCGGCAGGCUUAACACAUGCAAGUUGAGCGGGAUUAGAUUGGUAGCUUGCUACUGAUUUAUGAGAGCAGCGCACUGGUGAGUAACACGUGGGAACAUACCUUUUGGUGGGGGACAACAGAGGGAAACUUCUGCUAAUACCGCAUAAGCCCUGAGGGGGAAAGAUUUAUUGCCGAAAGAUUGGCCCGCGGAAGAUUAGGUAGUAGGUGGGGUAACGGCCUACCUAGCCGACGAUCUAUAGCUGGUCUGAGAGGACGAUCAGCCACAUUGGGACUGAGACACGGCCCAGACUCC
This 303-nucleotide ribosomal RNA is filed under the name Alphaproteobacteria bacterium. RNAcentral's name for it is "bacterial SSU rRNA". It matches the Rfam family "Bacterial small subunit ribosomal RNA", at positions 29 to 339 of the family's 1533-position model. The record is from RNAcentral. Lineage: Bacteria; Pseudomonadati; Pseudomonadota; Alphaproteobacteria.